UCUGUGGGCCUCAGGGAUGGAGUUUUGGCUCAAGAGUGUGGCUGCCUUGUUCUUCCGUCACCGUGUGGGGAACGGGGCCGUAGGGGAACCCACCGCCUGGGCCACAGCGAGGAGUAAAUGAGUCACAAUGUGAAUGGGACAGUGCCUGCCACAUCACAAGGACUCCAAUAUGAGCUACUUUUCAUAUUUCCUCAGCGUCCCCAGGGGCUGGUAUAAUGGCCAUCCCACAAGUAGUAGCCCAGUGGGUCUCACCGCCCUUGUCUUGGAGGCAAGAGGGGGAGGUGGGGAUCAGCUCCAAGGCCUUGAUUCUCAAAGCCUCUCCUGGGCCGGCAGCAGGCAACACAGUUGCGCUCCUUAGAAACGUGGAGUCUCGGCCCCACCCAAACCACGGAGCCAGACUCUUCCUUCACAGCACCCCCAGGGGCUUCAUGGCAUCCCGAGGUUGGAGGAACACGGCUCCUAGGCACCUUCCAGCCCUGGAGGGCUGGGAUUCCCUGCCCAGUCCUGGCUGCCUGGGUGCUCCGGUGUGACGGGGGUUGACAUGCUGCAGUGGGCCCGGCCGUGCUCCAUACACUCCCCCGAGCUCCCAGAUCUGGCUCACCUCCUGCCUACGGAUCCUGCUGCACCCUCCCCGGCCCCCGUGCCUGGCCACAGCAAUCCCCAUCAACCCAGUGACCCUGGGACCAGGAACCGACUUUGUCUCCUCUGACAUCCCCUUUCUGCCUGUCGUGACCCUCUCCACCUUGGAAGGUGUGGCUCCGAAGCCGCUACACUGGGCAUUCCUCCUUCAGCAUUGACGGAGAACCUGCUGUGUGCUGGGAUGCUGCACUUGCUCUCGGGGUGCUCAUGAGUUCCUGACCCAGGCUGCUUGGAUCAGAAGCACGUCCAGAGCUUUAAGGUGACAGCUCAAGGCCCCUUGUUUUAUUAUUGUAGUGUUUGGAUGGCAUGAGGCCCCCUGAUUCUCUAGCACUUAACCCAGCAGUAUCCGUCAUACACUGAGGGUCAUGGUCACAUGGUGAGGGUCACACACUGUGGGUCCUUAUAGUCCAUUUGGAUGAACAAAUGAACUUCUCUCUUCCCCUGUGUCUGUUUCUGAGUUCUCACCCUGGGGUCUGGACUCCAUCUCCCCCCAUGCUUCCAGAUGCUUCUGGAAUCCUAUUUCAGGCCAGAUGCUACUUGUCAGUGCAUCUCAAACUUUCACAGGCACGAGAAUCACCCAAGAUCUUGUCAGAAUGCAGACGCAGAUUCUCUCGGUCUGGGAUGGAGCCCAAGACUCUGCAUUUCUAACACGUUCCGGUUGGUGCGAGCCCCUGGCCCACACUUUGAGCAACAGAGAUCAGUUCUCACUUCUGAUUUCACCCGACAAUCCUUUGGGGGCUUUUGCAUGCUCAUGUCUGGGUCCUACCCCAGACCAACUGAACCAUGCAGAGGGGUGAGGUGGGGCCCCGGGUCUCCGGGUGAUUUCAACGUGCAGUCACAACCACCAGCCUAGGAGCGUGUAGAUGCAGGCGGUCAGGUUCUACUCCAGAGCUACUGUAUCAGAAAUGCUAGGAGUGAGGCACGGGAACGACGAGAACCACGGCUGCCCUAGGAAUGCCUGACCUUGGCUUCACCCAUCAGCUCCUACCUGCUCUUCCUGCCUCUUCAUUCAUUCUUUAUUUGGCCUAGAUAGUACAGUUCCGGAAACGCCAAUUUGGGUGGCUCAGUUGGUUAAGUGUCUGCCUUUAGCUCAGGUCAUGCUCCCA
Molecule: long non-coding RNA, 1745 nt
Organism: Leptonychotes weddellii (Weddell seal)
Lineage: Eukaryota; Metazoa; Chordata; Mammalia; Carnivora; Phocidae
Source: RefSeq, a predicted model, not a curated record